Oncorhynchus masou masou (cherry salmon) is the source of this 511-nucleotide long non-coding RNA. RefSeq lists it as uncharacterized. The record is from RefSeq and is a predicted model, not a curated record. Lineage: Eukaryota; Metazoa; Chordata; Actinopteri; Salmoniformes; Salmonidae. The transcript is spliced from 3 exons.
AACAGAUGGCAGGAAAAUGGCAGAGGAGAGGGAUAUAAAUAUAUUUUGCUAGAGAGGGAGUGGGAUACGUGUGAUAAAUCGAAGAGAACAUGUUAACCCUAAGCAUAGAAAGGUAGAGGGACUUUCACUGCCUCGAAACGUAAACUAUGGAAGUAUUCAUAGAUUAGUUUUUACCAAGCAAUUGCUACUUGUACCGUCAACACCAACAUUCUGUUUCAGACAGCAGCUACAUGACAAACAAUAAAAAGUUUCCCGUGUGUAUCAAGAAUGGUCCACCACCCCAAAAGCAUCCAGCCAGCUUGAUACAAUAGUGGCACGCAUUGGAGUCAACAUGGGCCAGCAUCCCCGUUGAAUGCUUUCUACACCUUGUAGACUCCACGCUCCAACGACUUGAGGCUGUUCUGAGGGCAAAGUGGGGUGCAGGAAUGUGUCACAUGCGCCAAAUACAACAGGGAUUUGGGCCUGGUCUCGGAGAAACAGUAUAUGCAUCGCGUCGGACUCAUUAAAGAAA